UGGGGAAUAUUGGACAAUGGGGGCAACCCUGAUCCAGCCAUGCCGCGUGGGUGAAGAAGGCCUUAGGGUUGUAAAGCCCUUUCAGCGGGGAAGAUGAUGACGGUACCCGCAGAAGAAGCCCCGGCUAACUCCGUGCCAGCAGCCGCGGUAAUACGAUGGGGGCUAGCGUUGUUCGGAAUUACUGGGCGUAAAGCGCGCGUAGGCGGACUAUUAAGUCAGGGGUGAAAUCCCGGGGCUCAACCUCGGAAUUGCCUUUGAUACUGGUAGUCUAGAGUCCGUGAGAGGUGAGUGGAACUCCGAGUGUAGAGGUGAAAUUCGUAGAUAUUCGGAAGAACGCCAGUGGCGAAGGCGGCUCACUGGCACGGUACUGACGCUGAGGUGCGAAAGCGUGGGGAGCAAACAGGAUUAGAUACCCCGGUAGUCC
This 424-nucleotide ribosomal RNA is filed under the name uncultured prokaryote. RNAcentral's name for it is "bacterial SSU rRNA". It matches the Rfam family "Bacterial small subunit ribosomal RNA", at positions 355 to 796 of the family's 1533-position model. The record is from RNAcentral.